Molecule: ribosomal RNA, 450 nt
Filed under: uncultured bacterium
Lineage: Bacteria
Description: bacterial SSU rRNA
Rfam family: Bacterial small subunit ribosomal RNA
Source: RNAcentral
CUCCCAGACCCCUACGGGAGGCAGCAGUGGGGGAUAUUGGACAAUGGGGGAAACCCUGAUCCAGCGACGCCGCGUGAGUGAAGAAGUAUUUCGGUAUGUAAAGCUCUAUCAGCAGGGAAGAAAGAAAUGGCGGUACCUGAGUAAGAAGCCCCGGCUAACUACGUGCCAGCAGCCGCGGUAAUACGUAGGGGGCAAGCGUUAUCCGGAAUUACUGGGUGUAAAGGGAGCGUAGACGGUAAUGCAAGUCUGGAGUGAAAGGCGGGGGCCCAACCCCCGGACUGCUUUGGGAACUGUACGGCUGGAGUGCAGGAGAGGUAAGUGGAAUUCCUAGUGUAGCGGUGAAAUGCGUAGAUAUUAGGGGGAACACCAGUGGCGAAGGCGGCUUACUGGACUGUAACUGACGUUGAGGCUCGAAAGCGUGGGGAGCAAACAGGAUUAGAUACCCUAGUA